This is a long non-coding RNA of Puntigrus tetrazona (Sumatra barb), 497 nucleotides long. RefSeq lists it as uncharacterized. Lineage: Eukaryota; Metazoa; Chordata; Actinopteri; Cypriniformes; Cyprinidae. The transcript is spliced from 4 exons. The record is from RefSeq and is a predicted model, not a curated record.
CUGCCUGAAAUGGUGAACCUAUGUUUAUCCUCCUAAAUCAUAAAAGAAACAGCCGUUAAGGCAGAAGGAAAUGGCAAGGCAGCCCUGUAAAAAAUAAAUAAAAAAUAGACGUGUAAACAAAAGCCUGAUCAUCUGUAUCUAGACUUACGGCUGUAUGUUGAUGGCUGUGUUGUUAACUGGAAAGGAGACACCAUCUGUGGGGUUUUAAAGAUCACUAGCACUGCCUGUUAUCUAGAGAAUCAUUUAUCAUGACUGAAUCACUCAGACGCCAGCAUGUGAGAUACUUACAGCUGAUGCUGGUGUUUAAAUGCUCUUUGACAGACGCUACAGAAAUGAGGCCCAUCCUGUCUGUGGAUCAAGAGGUCUGUUGGUGGUGCCAUGAUGAUGGUGGCAUCUCUGGACACAUUCUUGGACGAUGAGAGCAGAGAUGGACUCAAAUCUGAAGGGUCUUUCAUUUCCAUUAACAGUUUCGUUGAGACGCUGUUAAUCGGGGGAGA